Molecule: small nuclear RNA, 107 nt
Filed under: Mesocricetus auratus (golden hamster)
Lineage: Eukaryota; Metazoa; Chordata; Mammalia; Rodentia; Cricetidae
Source: RNAcentral
AUGCUUGCUUUGGCAGCACAUAUAAUAAAAUUGGAACAAUACAGAGAAGAUUAGCAAGGUCCCUGUGCAAGGAUGACAUGCAAAUUCAUGAAGCAUUCCUUAUUUUU